CCGGGGCUAAUACCGGAUGGUUGUUUGAACCGCAUGGUUCAGACAUAAAAGGUGGCUUCGGCUACCACUUACAGAUGGACCCGCGGCGCAUUAGCUAGUUGGUGAGGUAACGGCUCACCAAGGCAACGAUGCGUAGCCGACCUGAGAGGGUGAUCGGCCACACUGGGACUGAGACACGGCCCAGACUCCUACGGGAGGCAGCAGUAGGGAAUCUUCCGCAAUGGACGAAAGUCUGACGGAGCAACGCCGCGUGAGUGAUGAAGGUUUUCGGAUCGUAAAGCUCUGUUGUUAGGGAAGAACAAGUGCCGUUCAAAUAGGGCGGCACCUUGACGGUACCUAACCAGAAAGCCACGGCUAACUACGUGCCAGCAGCCGCGGUAAUACGUAGGUGGCAAGCGUUGUCCGGAAUUAUUGGGCGUAAAGGGCUCGCAGGCGGUUUCUUAAGUCUGAUGUGAAAGCCCCCGGCUCAACCGGGGAGGGUCAUUGGAAACUGGGGAACUUGAGUGCAGAAGAGGAGAGUGGAAUUCCACGUGUAGCGGUGAAAUGCGUAGAGAUGUGGAGGAACACCAGUGGCGAAGGCGACUCUCUGGUCUGUAACUGACGCUGAGGAGCGAAAGCGUGGGGAGCGAACAGGAUUAGAUACCCUGGUAGUCCACGCCGUAAACGAUGAGUGCUAAGUGUUAGGGGGUUUCCGCCCCUUAGUGCUGCAGCUAACGCAUUAAGCACUCCGCCUGGGGAGUACGGUCGCAAGACUGAAACUCAAAGGAAUUGACGGGGGCCCGCACAAGCGGUGGAGCAUGUGGUUUAAUUCGAAGCAACGCGAAGAACCUUACCAGGUCUUGACAUCCUCUGACAAUCCUAGAGAUAGGACGUCCCCUUCGGGGGCAGAGUGACAGGUGGUGCAUGGUUGUCGUCAGCUCGUGUCGUGAGAUGUUGGGUUAAGUCCCGCAACGAGCGCAACCCUUGAUCUUAGUUGCCAGCAUUCAGUUGGGCACUCUAAGGUGACUGCCGGUGACAAACCGGAGGAAGGUGGGGAUGACGUCAAAUCAUCAUGCCCCUUAUGACCUG
Molecule: ribosomal RNA, 1068 nt
Filed under: Bacillus velezensis
Lineage: Bacteria; Bacillati; Bacillota; Bacilli; Caryophanales; Bacillaceae
Description: bacterial SSU rRNA
Rfam family: Bacterial small subunit ribosomal RNA
Source: RNAcentral